Molecule: ribosomal RNA, 253 nt
Filed under: uncultured bacterium
Lineage: Bacteria
Description: partial 16S ribosomal RNA
Rfam family: Bacterial small subunit ribosomal RNA
Source: RNAcentral
UACGGAGGGCGCAAGCGUUGUUCGGAAUUACUGGGCGUAAAGCGCGUGUAGGCGGUCUGGUAAGUCGGUUGUGAAAUCCCCGGGCUCAACCCGGCAACUGCAUCCGAAACUUCCAGGCUAGAGUUUCGGAGAGGAAGGCAGAAUUCCCAAUGUAGGGGUGAAAUCCGUAGAUAUUGGGAGGAAUACCAGUGGCGAAGGCGGCCUUCUGGACGAUGACUGACCCUGUGACGCGAAAGCGUGGGGAGCAAACAGG